This 254-nucleotide ribosomal RNA is filed under the name uncultured bacterium. Its description in RNAcentral is "partial 16S ribosomal RNA". It matches the Rfam family "Bacterial small subunit ribosomal RNA", at positions 524 to 776 of the family's 1533-position model. The record is from RNAcentral.
AACGUAGGUGGCGAGCGUUAUCCGGAUUUACUGGGCGUAAAGGGCGCGUAGGCGGUCAGCACAAGUCAGUUGUGAAAUCUCCGGGCUUAACUCGGAAAGGUCAACUGAUACUGUGCGACUAGAGUGCAGAAGGGGCAACUGGAAUUCUCGGUGUAGCGGUGAAAUGCGUAGAUAUCGAGAGGAACACCUGCGGCGAAGGCGGGUUGCUGGGCUGACACUGACGCUGAGGCGCGAAAGCCAGGGGAGCGAACGGG